GACGAACGCUGGCGGCGUGCUUAACACAUGCAAGUCGGACGGAAAGGCCCUGCUUUUGUGGGGUGCUCGAGUGGCGAACGGGUGAGUAACACGUGAGUAACCUGCCCUUGACUUUGGGAUAACUUUAGGAAACUGGGGCUAAUACCGGAUAGGAGCUCCUGCUGCAUGGUGGGGGUUGGAAAGUUUCGGCGGUUGGGGAUGGACUCGCGGCUUAUCAGCUUGUUGGUGGGGUAGUGGCUUACCAAGGCUUUGACGGGUAGCCGGCCUGAGAGGGGGACCGGCCACAAGGGGACUGCGAUACGCACCAGACUCGUACGGGAGGCAGCAGUGGGGAAUAUUGCACAAUAGGCGGAAGCCUGAUGCAGCAACGCCGCGUGCGGGAUGACGUCCUUCGGGUUGUAAACCGCUUUCGCCUGUGACGAAGCGGGAGUGACGGUAAUGGGUAAAGAAGCACCGGCUAACUACGUG
RNAcentral lists this ribosomal RNA (468 nucleotides) under uncultured bacterium. RNAcentral describes it as "partial 16S ribosomal RNA". It matches the Rfam family "Bacterial small subunit ribosomal RNA", at positions 28 to 507 of the family's 1533-position model. The record is from RNAcentral.